CUACUGACCUGGCAGGGAAGAUACUAUGAUCAAGUAAAACAUUUUUCCUCGGCCAGUCUCUCCAUAGAAUUCUGGGUGUGCAGAACCCUGUGGUUUUUCCAAAUGUGGAAAACUCAGCUGCAUAAUCUGAGGUAGUAGGUGGCUACAUUCAAAUUUUAUCCUG
Small nuclear RNA from Grammomys surdaster, 163 nucleotides. RefSeq annotates it as U1 spliceosomal RNA. NCBI's taxonomy places the organism in Eukaryota, Metazoa, Chordata, Mammalia, Rodentia, Muridae. The record is from RefSeq and is a predicted model, not a curated record. The transcript has a single exon.